This 254-nucleotide ribosomal RNA is filed under the name uncultured bacterium. RNAcentral describes it as "partial 16S ribosomal RNA". It matches the Rfam family "Bacterial small subunit ribosomal RNA", at positions 524 to 776 of the family's 1533-position model. The record is from RNAcentral.
GACAGAGGUGCCGAGCGUUAGGCGGAAUCACUGGGCUUAAAGCGUGUGUAGGCGGAUCGUUAAGUGUCUUGUGAAAUCCCACGGCUCACCCGUGGAACGGCUGGGCAUACUGGCGAUCUUGGGCCAACUAGGGGCAACUGGAACAAGCGGUGGAGCGGUGAAAUGCGUAGAUAUCGCUUGGAACGCCGAAGGUGAAAACAGGUUGCUGGGGUUGUGCCGACGCUGAGAACACGAAAGCCAGGGGAGCAAACGGG